UAUAAACGUAGUUAUGAGUUUCCGUGUCCAACUUUAAUUGUCUGUUUUAUUUGAAAUUUUUUUAUGAUUAGUAUUUUUACUAUUGUUAGAUGAUAAAACAUUAAUAAUCCUUUAUGCAUGAAUUAUGUUUUGUUACUUUUUUUUAAAAAAAAAUAUCAAAUAAGACAGACGAUUAAAGUAGACACGGAAACUCAUGGCUGCGCUUAAA
MicroRNA precursor from Oryza sativa Indica Group (long-grained rice), 208 nucleotides. It matches the Rfam family "MIR812 microRNA precursor family". NCBI's taxonomy places the organism in Eukaryota, Viridiplantae, Streptophyta, Magnoliopsida, Poales, Poaceae. The record is from Rfam.